GUAGCUGCCUGGAGCUUGAGUGGGGAGUACUGUGUCUGGAGUAGGCUGCAACCCUGUAGCACCUUGGUCAGAGCAGUGCAGGCAGGAACCUGGGAAGAAGAGAACGAGCUCUGUCUGAGCAGCUGAGACUGAGCAGGGUGCUGUGGCUGAGGGGAAUUGGCCCAGGGAAAUGCAGCAAUGGUAGAGGCAAAGGAAUGCAGCGCAGGGGACGCUACGCACGGACGCGAGGCCCAGGACCUUCUCCUCUCCGGCUAAUUGGAAGCCUUUAAGGAGGACCGCUGGGGGGUCCCGACGACUGCCGGAUUUCGUCACAGGCGGGGAGACCCCCUGGGAUGAUGGACACCAGGAAAGCAGGACCUUCCACAGCUGGAGUCCAGUAUCACGUGAUCUAGUCACAUGCCCUUGCAUGCAUUGAUGAGUCAUAGAAGCCAUCACUUAUAUACUGGCUGAAUCGGUGGCAGGAGAGCCCAUCAGGUGAGGAUGAGCUUUUCCCAUGGCCCAUUGUUUUCGUUGACGGGCCAUAACCUUGAAUACUCCCUUCACAGUGUGCUGGCUAGACUGGAUGUAAAUUAACUUGUGCGAGUUACCCAGGAGCAAGCACAUUUGAAAUACAGGUGCAAAGUCUAUUAAUAACUUCAGAUACAAAAAUGAUACACACCUACAAAUAGGAUAAUCAAUUCAGCAAACCACAACAUUUCCAAUGCCACCUCACAUGACACAUUUUGUACAAAUCAUAUCAUAAUAUCACUAUGGUGAAUAUGGGAUGCAGAGUGUUACCUUGGGGCACAGAUUGUCACACUGAGGUGCACCAA
This is a long non-coding RNA of Chelonia mydas (Green sea turtle), 812 nucleotides long. RefSeq lists it as uncharacterized. NCBI's taxonomy places the organism in Eukaryota, Metazoa, Chordata, Testudines, Cheloniidae. The transcript has 3 exons. The record is from RefSeq and is a predicted model, not a curated record.